UAUCAUUAUAGCGAUUACGCCACUAGAAGCACUAGUCAUUGUUGCACACGGACGCUCGAUAGCCGGCGUAAAUUUGUGACGCUUUCACAAAAAUUCGACGAACGGAGAGUGUGUAUGCGUUCCGUUAUAGUGAAAAUAACAACGAUAACUUUAUAUAUAUAUAUAUAUAUAUAUUACGACGGCUAGAUGAACUCGAACAAUUACCAACAGAAACGUACGUACAUGUAGUGCGCGACGUCUGCUGACAUAUAUAAGUACUUAUGGGCGAUAGUGAUGUAAUAUAUAUAUAUCUAUUAAUCUGGUGUAGAAAAGUGCUCGUCGGCCUCUAGCAGCUGCAGACCUAGGAAGGAAGGCUGAAAGUUGAUUAGAUCGUUUUGAAAAAAACAAAACUAUAUUUGUUGCAGUGUUUCUUUGCCGUUUAUAAUCAUCGUUGUAUAAUUAAAGUACAUCGAGGUAUGCAACUCACCAGGGCAGCUAUUAAGCCAACACGAUUUGAUUGCCCACAGUAGAUGCCAGUCGUCAGUCAGGUCCGUUCAUUGGCUACCUGGUCAAGUCAGCCAUUGGCCUUCCCGGACUUAAGUCGGCUGGUCAUUUUUAAUUUCGGCCCUUUUUUCGUGGUCGUUACAUAAGACCGCCCGUUAACGCUGUGUGUCUUUCAAUUCACACACGUAGAUUCCCGUGAGUUCACCAGGUUAAUUGCGGUCCAAUGGUGAGACCCUCAACUGAAUUGUGUGAUAGUACUGACUAACUGGUUCACGGCGUAGGGUCUAGACAGACAGCCAGGGAGAAAACUGUCAAGCCAAGCCUACUGCCGCUCACUGCACGAUAUUGCCAGAGAAAAAAGGUGCAGUGGUUGCUCUCAAAAUAAAGAAAAACGCCGAUAUUUCAACUAUUGUUCUGUCGACUACUGAGUAGUUUGGCAGCUGAGCUGGCCUAUCUGAUGUCUGGACAGAUGUCAACAUGCCAAGCCUAAUGGUAGAAGGUUUUCAAUGGCCGCAUGAUCGCAAGAACGUAAAACGACAUCUCGCGGAAGGCACAUCCAACAUCCAACAAGCGUCAACUAUAUUGCCUAGUAUUUAGCCUUCGAAAAUUGCCCACGACUACCGGCUACUGUUGGGAGAAUAUAGAACACGUUCUUAAGACAGUGCACACAUGCAAGAGGAAGGACUCCCACAACUGCUGGAACAACUCUCACCCUUAACAGCUUCAGCAUCGUAUGUGUGGCUAGUCGAAAUCUGACUAGAUCAUGCGGCAGUCGAAAGUGGAAAUAGUAGAACUUCUUUCUCCUAAACAAGCGGACAGCGCAGAACAAGUUUCAACUCCGUUGAAAAGAUGCAUUUCUACCUUUGUUUUGCGACACACUUAUACCCACAGCUGCGGUGGAAACAGCGCCCGAACCAAAAGCGGAUGCCAUAUAGAUUUCGGCGUAUAGGACGGCCCGUUAUGAGCAUUCAGCCGAACGGAAAUUCACAAUGGCAGCAAAACAUUGAUCGUCUACAGACGGAAAUAACCAGGCAGCUGCAAGCGAUACUCGUGGCUUCGAUUUUUGAAUAUAGAUACAACAAAUAGUGUAGAAUAGAUCCUUUCGCGUACCAUGUACAACUUUUUUGGCGCAUUUGUGGCCCGAGGAUCGACGGUAGCGAGCAAGCGACAAUCAGAUACAUUAACAUAGUUAGUCGCACGAUGCGUUGCCAACGGAAAAGACAAAGAAAUCCGCGUCUGAGAUAGCGUGGCACCAAGAAGAACACCAAUGGCGGGGAGCACCAGAUAUAUGCAUGAAACUAUAACGUGCAUCUGUGGGAAAGAACGAGGCAAAUGAAAGAAAACGCUAAAAAAGUAACUACUUUUUUAGCGUUUUCUUUCAUUUAUAUAGAUUUAUGCAUGGAGAGCUUUUAAGCCCAGCUAAAAAACUUCAUCAGAAGUGAGUUGGGAAUUGAUUUACCACUUCGUAACGAAGAUCGUACACGUUAUCUCUGUGUUGAAGCUGAAGAUAAAUAGCGACUAAAGGAACUGUGUAGCAAUAUUGUGCCGUUUCGGCUCGGAGUUAAUCAACAUCAAUUUAUAUUAUCAAAGGAUGUUGAGUUUAAUAGUCGCGGGAUAAUAUACAUAGCGACAAUGGCCAUAAAAAUUCAUUAAGCGGAAAUAGACCACAAUCCUGUAUACUUUUCGUGUUGAUUAUCAUCGACUCCCCUUCCAUCUAUUGACCCUCGUACAAUUGCCAAAACAAUCUCUGUUUGCCACACUUCGUUUGUGAUAUGCCCACACCUUAUCUUACGUAUUUCGACAAGAACAAGGCUCUUCACCCUUCACCCUUCUUAACUUUCGUUUGCCUCAGAGACACGAUGCCUAUGCAUUAAAAUCAAAAUGGUCAUUUUCAAUAAAUGAAAAGAAAAUUUAACUUUCCUUGCAAUUGUCAGUGGUACGUUGCCCCUGGUGGUUGCCAUUA
Molecule: long non-coding RNA, 2446 nt
Organism: Varroa destructor (honeybee mite)
Lineage: Eukaryota; Metazoa; Arthropoda; Arachnida; Mesostigmata; Varroidae
Source: RefSeq, a predicted model, not a curated record